AGAGUUUGAUCCUGGCUCAGAUUGAACGCUGGCGGCGUGCUUAACACAUGCAAGUCGAACGCGAAAGGGGGCUUCGGCUCCCGAGUAGAGUGGCGCACGGGUGAGUAACGCGUGGAUAAUCUGCCCUCUUGUUCGGGAUAACUGCUGGAAACGGCAGCUAAUACCGGAUAAGCUCCACCAAUUGUAUGGUGGAGGAAAGGAGGCCUCUUCAUGAAAGCUUCCGCGAGGGGAUGAGUCCGCGUCCCAUUAGCUAGUUGGUGAGGUAACGGCCCACCAAGGCAACGAUGGGUAGCCGGUCUAAGAGGAUGACCGGCCACACUGGAACUGAAACACGGUCCAGACUCCUACGGGAGGCAGCAGUGGGGAAUAUUGCGCAAUGGACGAAAGUCUGACGCAGCGACGCCGCGUGAGGGAUGAAGGUUUUCGGAUCGUAAACCUCUGUCAGGAGGGAAGAAAGCGCAUGGCGCCAAUCAGCCAUGCGUUGACGGUACCUCCAAAGGAAGCGCCGGCUAACUCCGUGCCAGCAGCCGCGGUAAUACGGAGGGCGCGAGCGUUAAUCGGAAUUACUGGGCGUAAAGCGCGCGUAGGCUGUUGUGUAAGUUGGGGGUGAAAUCCCACGGCUCAACCGUGGAACAGCCCUUGAUACUGCGCGACUUGAAUCCGGGAGAGGGUGGCGGAAUUCCAGGUGUAGGAGUGAAAUCCGUAGAUAUCUGGAGGAACAUCAGUGGCGAAGGCGGCCACCUGGACCGGUAUUGACGCUGAGGCGCGAAAGCGUGGGGAGCAAACAGGAUUAGAUACCCUGGUAGUCCACGCUGUAAACGAUGGAUGCUGGAUGUCGGGGAAUAAUCCCCGGUGU
RNAcentral lists this ribosomal RNA (856 nucleotides) under uncultured bacterium. RNAcentral describes it as "bacterial SSU rRNA". It matches the Rfam family "Bacterial small subunit ribosomal RNA", at positions 8 to 846 of the family's 1533-position model. The record is from RNAcentral.